RNAcentral lists this long non-coding RNA (1324 nucleotides) under Setaria italica (foxtail millet). RNAcentral's name for it is "long non-coding RNA (SITA_LNC000004)". The record is from RNAcentral. Lineage: Eukaryota; Viridiplantae; Streptophyta; Magnoliopsida; Poales; Poaceae.
GGGAGGAUAUCCGCGGCGGCUAUCGGCAGCGUCGCCCGCACUGGCAGGGCAGCCCCGGUGGGGUCCUCCGCCUUCCCGUUCCUCCGGAGCUCAUUCGUCUCGUCCUCCUCCACGUCGUCCGCCUCCGCCUCCCCCGCCUCGCUCUCGGCGGCGGUCUCAGCGUCGCUGGCCUUCACGUCCUCUUCCUCGUUCGCCGGUGAGAUAGGAUUCCGUCUUUCUUUUCUUCUCUGUGUUCGUAUGCUAGCGUUCGCGCGGGCCAUUUGUUUUUGGCCUUUGGGGAAUUAGUGGGUUCUGCUUACACGCUCACACGGGGAAAUGUCAUUGAAAUUAUGACUUCGUGCACUGUGCGUUGGCACUAGUUUUGCAUAAUAGGAUGCUUCGUACGAGUUUUAAUACAGACUUCAGUAAAUGGUACCAGAAAGGCAGAAAUGUAUCAUAUGCAUGAGGUGGAGCUUGUAUAGUUUAUCGCUCUAGUCCAAUGUAGGGAACAGAAGAAAAAUUGGGGACUUAUGUUGGUUUAACCUGUGGAAACAGAAUUGUAAGGUGCCCUGGUUAGUUGUCUGAAAAUAUUGAAAUUUGUCUGGCUGGUAUUAUGAAAAUCUGAAAUUCAGUUAUUGUUGAACCUGUUGGUUGAUACGGAUGGUUCUGUGAAAUCUGAAAUUUUGUAUCAUGGAGUCUGAGCAUUCCUGUAGGCUGUAAUUGAUCAUGGAUCAACAAAUUUUUAUUUAAUAAUCUGAAUAAGAGACAAAGUUAAUUUGUAGAGUACUUGUAGAGCCAGUUGUGUGUUAGUGUCCAGACUCCAAACAUGAAACUGACCGUGCUCAUAUUUGAUCGUUUCAGUGAUCUUUUUUUUUUUGAGUUAUGAGAAGGAGCAAAUAUAAAACUCUAUAUUUGUUGUCAUCCCCAUGUACCAUCUGAUGGAUUCUAGACCGUAUGCAUCUGAAUUUUUUCCUGAAUCAUGUGGACAUCGCAAACUCUUACAAACUAGCUACAUAGAGUUGCCCUUUUUUCUGUCCUGAAUCAUCUAGAUGUCGUAAAAUGUUACAAAACAGCUACAUAGAAUUCGCCUCUUUGUUUUCUGCCCUGAACCAUCUAGAUGUUGCUACAUGUUACAGACCAUUGGAUUGACAUUUUCUUUUGAUCGGAAUGGAAUCCAAUCCUGCUCUUUUAUGCUGCUGUUCCCCAGCCAAAACCGCGUUGCCACCGAACGACCUGCUCAGAUCAGCGACGGCGAGGCAGAGGAGGCACUUGGCGACACGAAGCAGCAGCUCAUCGCCCUCGGAGACGAGCACGGACGAUUCCCAGUCCCCGAAACAAGAGAAGG